RNAcentral lists this ribosomal RNA (253 nucleotides) under uncultured bacterium. RNAcentral's name for it is "partial 16S ribosomal RNA". It matches the Rfam family "Bacterial small subunit ribosomal RNA", at positions 524 to 776 of the family's 1533-position model. The record is from RNAcentral.
UACAGAGGUGGCAAGCGUUGUUCGGAAUUACUGGGCGUAAAGGGCGCGUAGGCGGCCUUCUAAGUCAGACGUGAAAUCCCCCGGCUUAACCUGGGAACUGCGUCUGAUACUGGAAGGCUUGAGUGCGGGAGAGGGAUGUGGAAUUCCAGGUGUAGCGGUGAAAUGCGUAGAUAUCUGGAGGAACACCGGUGGCGAAGGCGGCAUCCUGGACCGACACUGACGCUGAGGAGCGAAAGCGUGGGGAGCGAACAGG